ACAGUGUCUGGUGGGUAGUUUGACUGGGGCGGUCUCCUCCUAAAGAGUAACGGAGGAGCACGAAGGUUGGCUAAUCCUGGUCGGACAUCAGGAGGUUAGUGCAAUGGCAUAAGCCAGCUUGACUGCGAGCGUGACGGCGCGAGCAGGUGCGAAAGCAGGUCAUAGUGAUCCGGUGGUUCUGAAUGGAAGGGCCAUCGCUCAACGGAUAAAAGGUACUCCGGGGAUAACAGGCUGAUACCGCCCAAGAGUUCAUAUCGACGGCGGUGUUUGGCACCUCGAUGUCGGCUCAU
Molecule: ribosomal RNA, 290 nt
Filed under: Escherichia coli
Lineage: Bacteria; Pseudomonadati; Pseudomonadota; Gammaproteobacteria; Enterobacterales; Enterobacteriaceae
Description: partial 23S ribosomal RNA
Rfam family: Bacterial large subunit ribosomal RNA
Source: RNAcentral